UGGGGAAUUUUGGACAAUGGGCGAAAGCCUGAUCCAGCAAUGCCGCGUGUGUGAAGAAGGCCUUCGGGUUGUAAAGCACUUUUGUCCGGAAAGAAAUCCUUGGCUCUAAUACAGUCGGGGGAUGACGGUACCGGAAGAAUAAGCACCGGCUAACUACGUGCCAGCAGCCGCGGUAAUACGUAGGGUGCAAGCGUUAAUCGGAAUUACUGGGCGUAAAGCGUGCGCAGGCGGUUUGCUAAGACCGAUGUGAAAUCCCCGGCUCACCUGGACUGCAUGUGACUGGCAGGCUAGAGUAUGGCAGAGGGGGUGAGAAUUCCACGUGUAGCAGUGAAAUGCGUAGAGAUGUGGAGGAAUACCGAUGGCGAAGGCAGCCCC
RNAcentral lists this ribosomal RNA (375 nucleotides) under uncultured bacterium. RNAcentral describes it as "partial 16S ribosomal RNA". It matches the Rfam family "Bacterial small subunit ribosomal RNA", at positions 355 to 729 of the family's 1533-position model. The record is from RNAcentral.